UACGUAGGGUGCAAGCGUUGUCCGGAAUUAUUGGGCGUAAAGCGCGCGCAGGCGGUCCUUUAAGUCUGAUGUGAAAGCCCACGGCUCAACCGUGGAGGGUCAUUGGAAACUGGGGGACUUGAGUGCAGGAGAGAAGAGUGGAAUUCCACGUGUAGCGGUGAAAUGCGUAGAGAUGUGGAGGAACACCAGUGGCGAAGGCGACUCUUUGGCCUGUAACUGACGCUGAGGCGCGAAAGC
RNAcentral lists this ribosomal RNA (237 nucleotides) under uncultured bacterium. RNAcentral's name for it is "partial 16S ribosomal RNA". It matches the Rfam family "Bacterial small subunit ribosomal RNA", at positions 524 to 760 of the family's 1533-position model. The record is from RNAcentral.